CAGUAGCCGCGGUAAUACGGAGGGCGCAAGCGUUAAUCGGAAUUACUGGGCGUAAAGCGCACGCAGGCGGUCUGACAAGUCAGAUGUGAAAUCCCCGGGCUUAACCUGGGAACUGCAUUUGAAACUGUCAGGCUGGAGUCUUGUAGAGGGGGGUGGAAUUCCAGGUGUAGCGGUGAAAUGCGUAGAGAUCUGGAGGAAUACCGGUGGCGAAGGCGGCCCCCUGGACAAAGACUGACGCUCAGGUGCGAAAGCGUGGGGAGCAAACAGGAUUAGAUACCCCUGUAGUCCCUGUCUCUUAUCC
Molecule: ribosomal RNA, 301 nt
Filed under: uncultured bacterium
Lineage: Bacteria
Description: partial 16S ribosomal RNA
Rfam family: Bacterial small subunit ribosomal RNA
Source: RNAcentral